UGGUGCAUCCAAAAAUUAAAGAAAAAUACUUUCGGGUCAUGAAGAUAUAAUAGACACAAGACAGGGUGUCUAGGAGAGAGUAAAGAGAAGAAGAAGAGGGUCUUCUUCUAGGAUUGUUAGUUUCAUCUCUUUCCUUCCUCCAUCUUGAGUUUUCUGAGAGUAUCUCAGAUCUAAAACUCCUCCUCUUACUUCUAAUCUUUGGAAGAGUCCAAAUCAA
RNAcentral lists this long non-coding RNA (217 nucleotides) under Elaeis guineensis (African oil palm). RNAcentral's name for it is "long non-coding RNA (EGUI_LNC031094)". Lineage: Eukaryota; Viridiplantae; Streptophyta; Magnoliopsida; Arecales; Arecaceae. The record is from RNAcentral.